RNAcentral lists this long non-coding RNA (215 nucleotides) under Musa acuminata (dwarf banana). RNAcentral's name for it is "long non-coding RNA (MACU_LNC008771)". Lineage: Eukaryota; Viridiplantae; Streptophyta; Magnoliopsida; Zingiberales; Musaceae. The record is from RNAcentral.
GCUCUCUGAACUUAGAAGAAAAGUGGUGCCAUUGGAAUGAAACAGGAAAGAAGAAUAUGGUCGAUGUGGGGCGCAUCCCGUGCCUUACUUGUGUUACGCUCAUUCUUAACUACUCUUCAGAAUUCUGAAACUCAUUGGUCAAAUCUAGCGCAUAAGAGUCUUUGUGUUAGUCGGAUUCCUCAUGAAAAGUAUUGUUUGCUGGGAUUUCCGCCUUA